CUUGUGCUGUUGCUGCCUACUGCAAGACUGCUUCGGUGGUCCUCCCCAGCCGGCUGGGCCACCUGGGCCACCUGGGCCUCCUCCCCCACCCCCUUCUGCACCUCCUCCGCUAGCACCUGGGCCUCCUCUUCCGCCUGGUCCGCCUCUGGGACCUUUUUUCGGUCCACCAGACCCACCAGGUUCUCCUGGACCACCUGGUUUCCCACCAGGACCUCCUGGCCCACCUGGUGGCCCACCAGGACCUCCUGGCCCACCUGGUGGCCCACCAGGACCUCCUGGCCCACCUGGAUGGUGACAGGGGCCCUCAACUUCUAACCCAUAUUUCACCUUAUUUGCUAGAGAUGUGUGUAUUGAGAGUUGAACCAGUUUUCUUGGGUUUCUCUCUUUCUAUUAAUGUCCUCUAAUUUUAUAUAUCAUUUUAUGAAUCAUGUA
This 432-nucleotide long non-coding RNA is filed under the name Vitis vinifera (wine grape). RNAcentral's name for it is "long non-coding RNA (VVIN_LNC001310)". Lineage: Eukaryota; Viridiplantae; Streptophyta; Magnoliopsida; Vitales; Vitaceae. The record is from RNAcentral.